RNAcentral lists this small RNA (423 nucleotides) under Pongo abelii (Sumatran orangutan). RNAcentral describes it as "processed transcript". The record is from RNAcentral. Lineage: Eukaryota; Metazoa; Chordata; Mammalia; Primates; Hominidae.
UUCCCUAUCAGAAUGGAAUGAUAAUCCCUGCUCCCAUAGGCUUGUGAGGGUCAAGUGAGGAACACCAUUGCCACAUGUAUGAAUACCUGAGUACACGCCCCCUCCACCUCUUCCCUCCAGGAGAAUAAGCUGGCAACCUGGGACAGGAUGAGUGAAAAUGGGGAACCUCUUUCUGUGGCUUCUGCCUUGUGCUGGAGUAAGGAUAGCCAGGGCAGGAUGCAGGUUCAAAGGCCCAGCAUCAUCUCUUACUGCGCUGCUCCUCAUAGCUGUCCUCCUGGGCCCCAUCUACGUCCCCUGGAAGCAGAAGACCUGACUAUCCUUCCUUCCUCCCCUGCCACGUGGGACCCUCAUCUCUGCUGCCUGCUUCCUUUCCUGAGACUCAGCUUGAGAGAAUGAGCCAGUGAGAAGCUUCUCUAGACUUGG